Molecule: long non-coding RNA, 896 nt
Organism: Salvia splendens (bonfire salvia)
Lineage: Eukaryota; Viridiplantae; Streptophyta; Magnoliopsida; Lamiales; Lamiaceae
Exons: 2
Source: RefSeq, a predicted model, not a curated record
UAAAGCUAAGUCCUCUUUCUUAGUUCAUUUUAAUUAGCCCUUUUGAAGGAUAGAAGUUUCAGAGGAUUCUACUUUAUUGUUGGGAGUGUAAUCGAAAACGGUGGAGGAACCCGUUCCUUGUGUUCAAGUAAAAUUUGAUAGCUAGCAUCCUAUGAUUUUUUUUCAAAUACGGCAGUAGCUAUGUUCAAAGCUCUAUGGUUCUAAGUUCUCGUGCUAGCUAUGAUUUCUUAUCAUGAUGCAGAGGUUGGUUUAGUGAGGAUUACCUCUAAAAUUGACCGCUGCCUUGAUUCCUGCUCCUUGAGCUCCAAAUCCCACACUCCUAACUCACUAUGUUGCUGAAUUUUUGAUGUGGUGUAAGGGAAGGUUGAGGGUGGUAAGGAGGGGUCUUUAUAGGUGAUUUGGUAACUGCAAAAUCUGCAACUCUUGAUCCUCUUGCAGGGACAUUUUUGUUGGUUGUGAGAGUGUACUCGUAUACUCAGGUCUGGGCUGCCUUAUUCUUGUUUUAUCUUGCUGCCAUUCUAACUGCAUUUGGCUGUAUGUGGAGCUUAGUGCUUUAGCUAAUAAAUGGCUUGGUUGCUGUGGCAGGUACUCAAGAAAGGGGCAGAGAUUGUUACUGCAGAUUGUCGCAGCUGGAAGGCAGACAUUGCAGGCUCAUUUGCCCCUUUGCAGCCUGCGGUUAAGGCUGGGAAAGGGCAGGGAUGGAAUAAGGACCCAUCAUGUCCGGCUGCUACCUUGAUGUUCUGAUCUCAACGGGCUGUCGAAGCUAGGCCGAAAUUCGGGCCUAAGGCAGAGCCCGAGACUUAGCAUUUCUACUUGUAAUAGAAUAGAGUCUUCCCUCUUGUUCUUUUUCAAGCUUUCUCUCAUUUCAAACAAAAAGUAUAGAAUUACUUCUCAAA